UACGUAGGAUGCAAGCGUUGUCCGGAAUUAUUGGGCGUAAAGCGCGCGCAGGCGGUUUCUUAAGUCUGAUGUGAAAGCCCACGGCUUAACCGUGGAAGGUCAUUGGAAACUGGGAGACUUGAGUGCAGAAGAGAAGAGCGGAAUUCCACGUGUAGCGGUGAAAUGCGUAGAGAUGUGGAGGAACACCAGUGGCGAAGGCGGCUCUUUGGUCUGUAACUGACGCUGAGGCGCGAAAGCGUGGGGAUCAAACAGG
This 253-nucleotide ribosomal RNA is filed under the name uncultured bacterium. Its description in RNAcentral is "partial 16S ribosomal RNA". It matches the Rfam family "Bacterial small subunit ribosomal RNA", at positions 524 to 776 of the family's 1533-position model. The record is from RNAcentral.